GCCCCAAUAGCUCAAUAGGUCAGAGCAGCUCAAUGAGCAUUCGGUUGCAGGUUCGAGCCCUGCUUGGGGCG
Molecule: transfer RNA, 71 nt
Filed under: Avibacterium avium
Lineage: Bacteria; Pseudomonadati; Pseudomonadota; Gammaproteobacteria; Pasteurellales; Pasteurellaceae
Also listed under: 1 other name
Description: tRNA-Ala
Rfam family: tRNA
About the family: Transfer RNA (tRNA) molecules are approximately 80 nucleotides in length.
Source: RNAcentral